CUGGCCAGUAUAAUAAGGUAGGUGGGGUUUGGACUGGCCAGUAUAAUAAGGUAAGUGGGGUUUGGACUGGCCAGUAUAAUAAGGUAGGUGGGGUUUGGACUGGCCAGUAUAAUAAGGUAGGUGGGGUUUGGACUGGCCAGUAUAAUAAGGUAGGUGGGGUUUGGACUGGCCAGUAUAAUAAGGUAGGUGGGAGUUGGACUGGCCAGUAUAAUAAGGUAGGUGGGGUUUGGACUAGCCAGUAUAAUAAGGUAGGUGGGGUUUGGACUAGCCAGUAUAAUAAGGUAGGUGGGAGUUGGACUGGCCAGUAAAAUAAGGUAAGUGGGGUUUGGACUGGCCAGUAUA
Long non-coding RNA from Oncorhynchus masou masou (cherry salmon), 342 nucleotides. RefSeq lists it as uncharacterized. The record is from RefSeq and is a predicted model, not a curated record. The transcript is spliced from 4 exons. NCBI's taxonomy places the organism in Eukaryota, Metazoa, Chordata, Actinopteri, Salmoniformes, Salmonidae.